GACGAACGCUGGCGGCGUGCUUAACACAUGCAAGUCGAACGGUGAAGCCCAGCUUGCUGGGUGGAUCAGUGGCGAACGGGUGAGUAACACGUGAGUAACCUGCCUCUGACUCUGGGAUAAGCCUGGGAAACGGGGUCUAAUACUGGAUACGAGACGCUCGGGCAUCCGAAGUGUCUGGAAAGAUUUAUCGGUCAGAGAUGGACUCGCGGCCUAUCAGCUUGUUGGGGGGUAAUGGCCUACCAAGGCGACGACGGGUAGCCGGCCUGAGAGGGCGACCGGCCACACUGGGACUGAGACACGGCCCAGACUCCUACGGGAGGCAGCAGUGGGGAAUAUUGCACAAUGGGUGCAAGCCUGAUGCAGCGACGCCGCGUGAGGGAUGACGGCCUUCGGGUUGUAAACCUCUUUCAGCAGGGAAGAAGCGAAAGUAACGGUACCUGCAGAAGAAGCGCCGGCUAACUACGUGCCAGCAGCCGCCGUAA
This 482-nucleotide ribosomal RNA is filed under the name uncultured bacterium. RNAcentral describes it as "partial 16S ribosomal RNA". It matches the Rfam family "Bacterial small subunit ribosomal RNA", at positions 28 to 523 of the family's 1533-position model. The record is from RNAcentral.